CGAAACCAAUCGCGUCGUUUAACCGCAGCGUCCAUGCCCAAGUCAUCGGCGCUGCCCAAGUGGUCGCUGGCUGAGCUCGCCAGGGCCGCCAAGGAGAGGUUCCGGGAUCUCGAUGCCUCCACCUUCGCCAAGAUGCAUUCUGGAAUCAAAUAACUUUGAGUUAUAUUGCAUUUAUAUUGCUUCUGAUGCUCUUGCCACUUUUAAGGAUUUGCUUACAAAAAAAAAUGAAACAACAGUCUCUCUGUUUCUGAUUUCCUAUUACGAAUAGGGUAAUUGCUAAGUUCUCCAUAUGCUACUCUUGUCAGUUAUAUUUCCUCUUAAUCCAGAAUAGAAGGAUAGUUUUCUGGAGGACCGAUCUGCUUGUUGCUUAACUUGUAUCAGAUGUGCUCAUCUCAUCGAAGUGCGUUGUUGCAGUUCUUCGAGCUUUCUGAGAAACUAUUGGCCUUUCCAAAAUAUGUAACAAGAAGACAAUCCUUAAAGGGUUGUUACUUUACUGAUACGCUUAUCUAGAUUGAAUGUUUGCUCCUUUUA
Molecule: long non-coding RNA, 531 nt
Organism: Zingiber officinale
Lineage: Eukaryota; Viridiplantae; Streptophyta; Magnoliopsida; Zingiberales; Zingiberaceae
Exons: 3
Source: RefSeq, a predicted model, not a curated record